This is a non-coding RNA of Myriangium duriaei CBS 260.36, 95 nucleotides long. Lineage: Eukaryota; Fungi; Ascomycota; Dothideomycetes; Myriangiales; Myriangiaceae. The record is from the annotation of a GenBank genome assembly.
GGUUGUGUAGUGUAGCGGUUAGCACAUUGGAUUUUGACGUUGUUUUCACAAACUCAAAUCUUCCAAUAACCCCGGUUCGAAUCCGGGCACGACCU